UACGUAGGGGGCAAGCGUUAUCCGGAUUUACUGGAUGUAAAGGGAGCGCAGGCGGCAGGAUGAGUCUGAUGUGAAAACCCGCGGCUCAACCACGGGAUUGCAUUGGAAACUGUCCAGCUAGAGUGUCGGAGAGGUAAGCGGAACUCCUAGUGUAGCGGUGAAAUGCGUAGAUAUUAGGAGGAACACCAGUGGCGAAGGCGGCUUACUGGACGAUGACUGACGCUGAGGCUCGAAAGCGUGGGGAGCAAACAGG
RNAcentral lists this ribosomal RNA (253 nucleotides) under uncultured bacterium. Its description in RNAcentral is "partial 16S ribosomal RNA". It matches the Rfam family "Bacterial small subunit ribosomal RNA", at positions 524 to 776 of the family's 1533-position model. The record is from RNAcentral.